Molecule: ribosomal RNA, 468 nt
Filed under: uncultured bacterium
Lineage: Bacteria
Description: partial 16S ribosomal RNA
Rfam family: Bacterial small subunit ribosomal RNA
Source: RNAcentral
GACGAACGCUGGCGGCGUGCUUAACACAUGCAAGUCGAACGGAAAGGCCCUGCUUUUGUGGGGUGCUCGAGUGGCGACCGGGUGAGUAACCCGUGAGUAACCUGUCCUUGACUUUGGGUUAACUUAAGGCAAAUGGGGCUCAUCCCGGAUAGGAGCUCCUGCUGCUUGGUGGGGGUUGGUAAGUUUCGGCGGUUGGGGAUGGAAUCGCGGCUUCUCAGCUUGUUGGUGGGGUUGGGCCUUGCCAAGGCUUUGACGGGUAGCGUGCCUGAGAGGGUGACCGGCCACAUUGGGAUUGAGAUACGGCCCAGACUCCUACGGGAGGCAGCAGUGGGGAAUAGUGCACAAUGGGCGGAAGCCUAAUGCAGCAACGCCGCGUGCGGGAUGACAGCCUGCUGGUUGUAAACCGCUAUCGUCUGUGACGAAGCGUGAGUGACGGUAAUGGGUAAAGAAGCACCGGCUAACUACGUG